AUCCAGCUGACUGGUCCUAAAUAGAAUGAAACGCGCGUCAAAUUGGAU
Molecule: non-coding RNA, 48 nt
Filed under: Schistosoma bovis
Lineage: Eukaryota; Metazoa; Platyhelminthes; Trematoda; Strigeidida; Schistosomatidae
Also listed under: 1 other name
Source: RNAcentral